Molecule: ribosomal RNA, 745 nt
Filed under: Laparocerus acyphus
Lineage: Eukaryota; Metazoa; Arthropoda; Insecta; Coleoptera; Curculionidae
Description: eukaryotic LSU rRNA
Rfam family: Eukaryotic large subunit ribosomal RNA
Source: RNAcentral
AAACCGUUUAGGGGUAAACCUGAGAAACCCGAAAGGUCGAAGGGAGAAAUUCAUUCGCGUUUCGCCGUUGGCGUGAGACGGUCGUGUGACGGAAAACGUUCGCGUUUUCCGCACCUUUCGUUUUUCGAUCCGAUAGCGAACGCGUGCACUUUUCUCCUGGUAGGACGUCGCGAUCCGUUGGGUGUCGGUCUACGGCUCGCGGUGGAGCCCGGAUGUACGGCUUGCCGUUACGUUCGGACCCGUGUGUCCCGGCUGACUCGCUCGACGGUAUACGAAAGGUUUAAGGCCGCUCUUUGAGCGUUCGGCUCGUCGCAAGCGCGUCAGAUGUGUCGGUGAUCGGACCUAGUGCCGGUUCUGACCUCUGGCGACUGUUGGCGGCGAAGUUCUCGAACAGACCUUUGACCGAUCUGCGACGCUAUAGCUUUGGGUACUUUCAGGACCCGUCUUGAAACACGGACCAAGGAGUCUAGCAUGUGCGCAAGUCAUUGGGAAUCACUAAACCUAAAGGCGCAAUGAAAGUAAAGGUCCGCCUUGCGCGGACUGAGGGAAGACGAGCGGUUUACCCUUAAAAGUGGCCGCUCCGCAUUCCCGGGGCGUCUCAUUCUCAUCGCGAGAAGAGGCGCACCAAGAGCGUACACGCUGGGACCCGAAAGAUGGUGAACUAUGCCUGGUCAGGACGAAGUCAGGGGAAACCCUGAUGGAGGUCCGUAGCGAUUCUGACGUGCAAAUCGAUCGUCGGAACUGG